CUGUAGUGAUGACAUCUUAGGACACCUUUGGAGUAACGAUGAAAAUAAUUGUUUUCUGAGCAGC
Molecule: small nucleolar RNA, 64 nt
Organism: Carassius auratus (goldfish)
Lineage: Eukaryota; Metazoa; Chordata; Actinopteri; Cypriniformes; Cyprinidae
Gene: SNORD58
Rfam family: Small nucleolar RNA SNORD58
About the family: snoRNA U58 is found in introns 1, 3 and 6 of the ribosomal protein RPL17 gene in humans. U58 is a member of the C/D class of snoRNA which contain C (UGAUGA) and D (CUGA) box motifs.
Source: Ensembl